Molecule: ribosomal RNA, 508 nt
Filed under: uncultured bacterium
Lineage: Bacteria
Description: partial 16S ribosomal RNA
Rfam family: Bacterial small subunit ribosomal RNA
Source: RNAcentral
AUUGAACGCUGGCGGCAUGCCUUACACAUGCAAGUCGAACGGCAGCGGGGGAGAAGCUUGCUUUUCCUGCCGGCGAGUGGCGAACGGGUGAGUAAUACAUCGGAACGUGCCCUGUAGUGGGGGAUAACUAGUCGAAAGAUUAGCUAAUACCGCAUACGACCUGAGGGUGAAAGUGGGGGACCGCAAGGCCCCAUGCUAUAGGAGCGGCCGAUGUCCGAUUAGCUAGUUGGUGGGGUAAAGGCCUACCAAGGCGACGCUCAGUAGCUGGUCUGAGAGGACGAUCAGCCACACUGGGACUGAGACACGGCCCAGACUCCUACGGGAGGCAGCAGUGGGGAAUUUUGGACAAUGGGCGAAAGCCUGAUCCAGCAAUGCCGCGUGUGUGAAGAAGGCCUUCGGGUUGUAAAGCACUUUUGUCCGGAAAGAAAUGGCUCUGGUUAAUACCUGGGGUCGAUGACGGUACCGGAAGAAUAAGGACCGGCUAACUACGUGCCAGCAGCCGCCGUAA